GUGCUCCCUUCGGCUGCACCUAUACUAAAAUUGGGACGAUACAGAUUAGCAUGGCCCCUGCGCAAGGAUGACACGCAAAUUCGUUAAGCGUCCCAUAUUUUU
Meriones unguiculatus (Mongolian gerbil) is the source of this 102-nucleotide small nuclear RNA. Lineage: Eukaryota; Metazoa; Chordata; Mammalia; Rodentia; Muridae. The record is from Ensembl.